UGGGGAAUAUUGCACAAUGGGCGCAAGCCUGAUGCAGCCAUGCCGCGUGUGUGAAGAAGGCCUUCGGGUUGUAAAGCACUUUCAGCGAGGAGGAAGGUGGUGAGCUUAAUACGCUCAUCAAUUGACGUUACUCACAGAAGAAGCACCGGCUAACUCCGUGCCAGCAGCCGCGGUAAUACGGAGGGUGCAAGCGUUAAUCGGAAUUACUGGGCGUAAAGCGCACGCAGGCGGUUUGUUAAGUCAGAUGUGAAAUCCCCGGGCUCAACCUGGGAACUGCAUUUGAAACUGGCAAGCUAGAGUCUCGUAGAGGGGGGUAGAAUUCCAGGUGUAGCGGUGAAAUGCGUAGAGAUCUGGAGGAAUACCGGUGGCGAAGGCGGCCCCCUGGACGAAGACUGACGCUCAGGUGCGAAAGCGUGGGGCAGCAAACAGGAUUAGAUACCCUGGUAGUCCACGCUGUAAACGAUGUCGAUUUUGGAGGUUGUGCCCUUGAGGCGUGGCUUCCGGAGCUAACGCGUUAAAGUCGACCGCCUGGGGAGUACGGCCGCAAGGUUAAAACUUAAAGGAAUUGACGGGGUCAU
RNAcentral lists this ribosomal RNA (578 nucleotides) under uncultured bacterium. RNAcentral describes it as "partial 16S ribosomal RNA". It matches the Rfam family "Bacterial small subunit ribosomal RNA", at positions 355 to 922 of the family's 1533-position model. The record is from RNAcentral.